Molecule: non-coding RNA, 21 nt
Organism: Caenorhabditis elegans
Lineage: Eukaryota; Metazoa; Nematoda; Chromadorea; Rhabditida; Rhabditidae
Source: Ensembl
UAAAAAACAUCAGGCUGGUAA